GUGAGGAAUAUUGGUCAAUGGGGGCAACCCUGAACCAGCGACGCCGCGUGAGGGAUGACGGGGCUUUGCCUUGUAAACCUCUGUCAGAAGGGAAAAGAAGGUUGUUUGGCGACCUGGGCUUGUACCUUCGGAGGAAGCACCGGCUAACUACGUGCCAGCAGCCGCGGUAAUACGUAGGGUGCAAACGUUGUCCGGAAUUACUGGGGGUAAAGGGCGAGUAGGCGGAUGAGCAAGUCAGAUGUGAAAUACCGGGGCUUAACCCCGGGGCUGCAUUUGAAACUGCUUAUCUUGAGUAAUGGAGAGGCAGGCGGAAUUCCCGGUGUAGCGGUGGAAUGCGUAGAUAUCGGGAGGAACACCAGUGGCGAAGGCGGCCUGCUGGACAUUAACUGACGCUGAUGAGCGAAAGCGUGGGGAGCAAACAGGAUUAGAUACCCUAGUAGUCC
RNAcentral lists this ribosomal RNA (443 nucleotides) under uncultured bacterium. RNAcentral describes it as "partial 16S ribosomal RNA". It matches the Rfam family "Bacterial small subunit ribosomal RNA", at positions 354 to 796 of the family's 1533-position model. The record is from RNAcentral.